This 497-nucleotide ribosomal RNA is filed under the name uncultured bacterium. RNAcentral's name for it is "partial 16S ribosomal RNA". It matches the Rfam family "Bacterial small subunit ribosomal RNA", at positions 28 to 507 of the family's 1533-position model. The record is from RNAcentral.
GAUGAACGCUGGCGGCGUGCCUAAUACAUGCAAGUCGAGCGAACAGACGAGGAGCUUGCUCCUCUGACGUUAGCGGCGGACGGGUGAGUAACACGUGGAUAACCUACCUAUAAGACUGGGAUAACUUCGGGAAACCGGAGCUAAUACCGGAUAAUAUAUUGAACCGCAUGGUUCAAUAGUGAAAGACGGUUUUGCUGUCACUUAUAGAUGGAUCCGCGCCGCAUUAGCUAGUUGGUAAGGUAACGGCUUAACAAGGCGACGAUGCGUAGCCGACCUGAGAGGGGGAGCGGCCACACGGGAACUGAGACACGGUCCAGACUCCUACGGGAGGCAGCAGUAGGGAAUCUUCCGCAAUGUGCGAAAGCCUGACGGAGCAACGCCGCGUGAGUGAUGAAGGUCUUCGGAUCGUAAAACUCUGUUAUGAGGGAAGAACAAAUGUGUAAGUAACUAUGCACGUCUUGACGGUACCUAAUCAGAAAGCCACGGCUAACUACGUG